RNAcentral lists this ribosomal RNA (220 nucleotides) under Alexandrium tamarense. RNAcentral's name for it is "partial Eukaryotic large subunit ribosomal RNA". It matches the Rfam family "Eukaryotic large subunit ribosomal RNA", at positions 2399 to 2628 of the family's 3401-position model. Lineage: Eukaryota; Dinophyceae; Gonyaulacales; Pyrocystaceae. The record is from RNAcentral.
GGGGAAAGAAGACCCUGUUGAGCUUGACUCUAGUCUGACGUUGUGGUGGGUGUCAGGAGGUGUAGCGUAGGUGGGAGCGAAAGCGAUCUUGAAACACCACUACUCUUGACUACCCGCUACUUAUUCUGUGAAACACUGUCCACGUGGGAGACUGCGUGGUUCUAGUUCAAAGCCUCGGUGAUGUGCGCGGAAGACAUCGUCAGGUGGGGAGUUUGGCUGG